Molecule: ribosomal RNA, 253 nt
Filed under: uncultured bacterium
Lineage: Bacteria
Description: partial 16S ribosomal RNA
Rfam family: Bacterial small subunit ribosomal RNA
Source: RNAcentral
UACGUAGGGACCUAGCGUUGUCCGGAAUCAUUGGGCGUAAAGCGCGCGUAGGCGGCCCGGUAAGUCCGUUGUAAAAGUCGAAGGCUCAACCUUCGAAAGCCGAUGGAUACUGCCGGGCUAGAGUACGGAAGAGGCGAGUAGAAUUCCUGGUGUAGCGGUGGAAUGCGCAGAUAUCAGGAGGAAUACCCAUAGCGAAGGCAGCUCGCUGGGACGUUACUGACGCUGAAGCGCGAAAGCUAGGGGAGCGAACGGG